UACAGAGGGUGCGAGCGUUAAUCGGAAUUACUGGGCGUAAAGGGCGCGUAGGCGGUGUAUUAAGUUAGAUGUGAAAUCCCUGGGCUUAACCUAGGAACUGCAUCUGAUACUGACACGCUAGAGUGCGGUAGAGGAUAGUGGAAUUUCCGGUGUAGCGGUGAAAUGCGUAGAUAUCGGAAGGAACACCAGUGGCGAAGGCGGCUAUCUGGACUGACACUGACGCUGAGACGCGAAAGCGUGGGUAGCAAACAGG
This 253-nucleotide ribosomal RNA is filed under the name uncultured bacterium. Its description in RNAcentral is "partial 16S ribosomal RNA". It matches the Rfam family "Bacterial small subunit ribosomal RNA", at positions 524 to 776 of the family's 1533-position model. The record is from RNAcentral.